UGGUGGAGUGAUUUGUCUGCUUAAUUGCGUUAACGAACGAGACCUCAGCCUGCUAAAUAGUUAUGCGAACCUUCUGCUUUGGGUGAAGCGCGCGGGGCAGUCGCUACCUUCGGGUGGCGGCACCCCGAACGUGGAUCCUUGAUGCGUUCGUAGCAAUACUUCUUAGAGGGACAAUUGGUAUCAAGCCAAUGGAAGUUUGAGGCAACAACA
This 210-nucleotide ribosomal RNA is filed under the name uncultured eukaryote. RNAcentral's name for it is "partial 18S ribosomal RNA". It matches the Rfam family "Eukaryotic small subunit ribosomal RNA", at positions 1299 to 1458 of the family's 1831-position model. The record is from RNAcentral.